Molecule: non-coding RNA, 645 nt
Filed under: Neurospora tetrasperma FGSC 2509
Lineage: Eukaryota; Fungi; Ascomycota; Sordariomycetes; Sordariales; Sordariaceae
Description: Bacterial large subunit ribosomal RNA
Rfam family: Bacterial large subunit ribosomal RNA
Source: Rfam by way of RNAcentral
UUUAUUUUUUUUUGUAUACAUCGGGGGAUCGUGAAGAUUUUAUCGGUGAGUAUGUAGACUCGGAAUGACAAAGAUGAAUCUUGAAUAAUCAGACAUAGAAUGAUAAGGUUGUAUGUCAAAAGGGAAACAGCCCAGAACAAGAGUUAAGGUUCCAAAAUUAUUAUUAAGUGAAAUAAAGAAAGUUUUUAUAUAAGUCGACAAGAAGAUGGGCUUGGAAGCAGCCAUAAUUUAAAGAUCUCGUAACAGAGCACUUGUUAAAUCUUAAAAGCAUCGAAAAUUUAACGGAUCUAAAUAAUAUACCGAAACCUUGUCCAUAUGUAACAUUAGUAAUAAUAUGCUAUUAAUGUUAUUUGAUGGGGUAGCAGAACGUUGAGUGAAUCUUAGAUUUUUUUUUAAACUAAAUAUAGAUGAUAACUCAAGUGAGAAUGGUGACAUGAGUAACAAAAAGAGUUUAAGGUACCUAAAAGGUAUCUUAGAGUCUCGCCUAAAGCUUAUGGCUACGUCAAGUAACGGCCUCUAAGUUUAUAAUCUGAAGAUUAUGACGAUGAGAAAAUAACGCGCAGAAGUGCGCUGCUUUGAUACUUAUGGUACCAACAUUUAAAAGUGAAAAUUGUGCAGGAAGGAUCAGUAUCCUUUCAUUCGCAA